This 468-nucleotide ribosomal RNA is filed under the name uncultured bacterium. RNAcentral's name for it is "partial 16S ribosomal RNA". It matches the Rfam family "Bacterial small subunit ribosomal RNA", at positions 28 to 507 of the family's 1533-position model. The record is from RNAcentral.
GACGAACGCUGGCGGCGUGCUUAACACAUGCAAGUCGAACGGCAAGGCCCUGCUUUUGUGCGCUGCUCGAGUGCCGAACGGGUGCGUAACACGUGAGUAACCUGCCCUUCACUUUCGUAUAACUUCAGGAAACUGGGCUUACUCUCGGAUAGCAUCUCCCGCUGCAUGGUGGGCGUUGGAACUUCUCGGCGGUUGGGGAUGGACUUGCGGCUUACCAGCUUGUUGGUGGGGUAGUGGCUUACCAAGGCUUUGACGGGUAGCCGGCCUGAGAGGGUGACAGGCCACAUUGGGAAUGAGAUACGGCCCAGACUCCUACGGGAGGCAGCAGUGGGGAAUAUUGCACAAUGGGCGGAAGCCUGAUGCAGCAACGCCGCGUGCGGGAUGACGGCCUUCGGGUUGUAAACCGCUUUCGCCUGUGACGAAGCGUGAGUGACGGUAAUGGGUAAAGAAGCACCGGCUAACUACGUG